AAGUUUUUGAACGCAAGUUGCGCCCGAAGCCUUUUGGCCAAGGGCACGUCUGCCUGGGCGUCACACAUCGUAUCCCCCCAGCAACACCUCUUUAUGGGGAUGUUUGAAUGGGGGCGGAGAUUGGUCUCCCGUUCCUCAGGUGCGGCUGGCUAAAAUAGGAGUCCCCUUCGACGGACGCACGACUAGUGGUGGUUGACAAGACCCUCUUAUCGAGUCGUGCGUUUUAAAGAGUAAGGAAGAUCUCUUCAAUGACCCUAAUGUGUCGUCUCUUGACGAUGCUUCGACUGCGACCCCAGGUCAGGCGGGACUACCCGCUGAGUUUAA
Molecule: unclassified non-coding RNA, 324 nt
Filed under: Asteraceae sp. OY-2017-2
Lineage: Eukaryota; Viridiplantae; Streptophyta; Magnoliopsida; Asterales; Asteraceae
Description: partial contains 5.8S rRNA and ITS2
Source: RNAcentral